CAACGUUGAGCUCGGGUUCCGAGCUGCAGUCAGAAAUCAGUCAGGCAACGGGGACUGAU
RNAcentral lists this non-coding RNA (59 nucleotides) under Synechococcus sp. Its description in RNAcentral is "Glutamine-II sequence". It matches the Rfam family "Glutamine-II riboswitch aptamer". From Rfam's summary of the family: The major groove of the PK provides the binding site for L-glutamine The record is from RNAcentral. RNAcentral also lists the same sequence under 1 other name. Lineage: Bacteria; Bacillati; Cyanobacteriota; Cyanophyceae; Synechococcales; Synechococcaceae.